UGGUGGAGUGAUUUGUCUGGUUAAUUCCGAUAACGAACGAGACCUUAACCUGCUAAAUAGCUAGGCUGCUUCUUCAGCGGUCGUCAGCUUCUUAGAGGGACUGUUGCGCGAUUAGCCAACGGAAGUUUGAGGCAAUAACA
This 140-nucleotide ribosomal RNA is filed under the name uncultured eukaryote. Its description in RNAcentral is "partial 18S ribosomal RNA". It matches the Rfam family "Eukaryotic small subunit ribosomal RNA", at positions 1299 to 1458 of the family's 1831-position model. The record is from RNAcentral.